RNAcentral lists this ribosomal RNA (424 nucleotides) under uncultured cyanobacterium. RNAcentral's name for it is "bacterial SSU rRNA". It matches the Rfam family "Bacterial small subunit ribosomal RNA", at positions 357 to 796 of the family's 1533-position model. The record is from RNAcentral. Lineage: Bacteria; Bacillati; Cyanobacteriota.
GGGAAUUUUCCGCAAUGGGCGAAAGCCUGACGGAGCAAUGCCGCGUGAGGGAAGAAGGCCUCUGGGCUGUAAACCUCUUUUCUCAAGGAAGAAGAUCUGACGGUACUUGAGGAAUAAGCCACGGCUAAUUCCGUGCCAGCAGCCGCGGUAAUACGGGAGUGGCAAGCGUUAUCCGGAAUUAUUGGGCGUAAAGCGUCCGCAGGCGGCCUUUCAAGUCUGCUGUUAAAGCGUGGAGCUUAACUCCAUUAAGGCAGUGGAAACUGUUGGGCUUGAGUGUGGUAGGGGCAGAGGGAAUUCCCGGUGUAGCGGUGAAAUGCGUAGAUAUCGGGAAGAACACCAGUGGCGAAGGCGCUCUGCUGGGCCAUAACUGACGCUCAUGGACGAAAGCCAGGGGAGCGAAAGGGAUUAGAUACCCCUGUAGUCA